CUCAGCAGAGAAAAAGCUAGGAAGGCCCCAGGGGUCUCACUGCGCCCCAGGACACUCAAUCCAGGAACCCCAGCCUCGGCCUGCUGCUCUGAUCUUCAAUAGCCAACUGCCUGCGUGCGGUCCCUAUUCCCGAAAGGCACGGGGACUAGGGUCGGGGGGAGGUUUAGGUUCCGGCCUCUGCCUUUCCUUCCAGGCUUUUGCUAUCGCGACCGAGCCUCCCAAUCCGGCCACUUGUUGUCGCCAACGCCUCCCAGCUGCCUCGGCAGCGCACGGGUGGGGGGUCCCUCGCAGGGCCGCAGAAGGGGAUGGGGGUAGCCCUGCACCCAGCAAGAGCGGGGCAGUCGCCCUCUCUCCCCUUCUCCCACUGCCGGAGCAGAUUGGAUUCUCAACGCGACACGAGCGGAAUGUCAAUAGGAGCGCAGAGCCACGGGCGGGCGCCGCGGAAGGGAUCAGGAUGCGGACGCUCCGGUGGCGGGCGCGGGGGGCAACAGCUCGGACUCUCCACUUCAGCCCCCGCCGCCUUGCCGCACCGUCACCGCCGGCCACGCGGCCCAGUGACCCCGCUGCGGGGCCCCGCAAGUUUCCGCAGCGCUGGGGGCCACGCGGGCAGGGGCCGGGCUGCUCCUGCGCCGCGGCGACCCCCACCGCGGCGCCCGGGGCCACCCGGCCGUCCCGCCUCCCGCGUAGCCGCUCAUCCGAGUCGCGCAGCAGGGUCCCGGGCUCCCCGGGCCAGCGCGGCACCAGGGCGCACAGUCUGCUUCGGAUUGCUGUCUCCCGCACCCCACGUUAGCAGCCAGCAGGACCCGGGUGGUGUGGACCAGGGGUGGAGCCGUUCCUUGUACCCCCUAUCCCACCUGCCUCCACUAACCCUCCCCCAGCGAGAGCGGAGAGCUGAGAACUAACGACUAGAGACCCAGAAAGGGGCCAUGAGGAGGAGGCAGACGACCCAGAGCCUGUUGGUCACAUGGCUGCAGGACACUGUGAAGAUACGUUUUCAAACCCACUUGCAGAUGAGAGUGUUUGAACUGUGCACGGCCACCUACAUGUGAGCUGUGAGCUGGCAGCGAAGGGCAGAAGCCCGGAAGCAGGUGUGGGCAGGUGCGAAGGCCCUUGGGCUGGGAGUGCUAUGCGUAUCCGAGCACAGAUGUGUGUGUCUCCGUGUACAAUUAUGGGAUCUGGUGAGCCCCUGGCCUGGGUGGGCCUCAGCUGGCCUCAGUCUCAUUCCUGGAACCCUCAUCUGAACUAUCUCCCUGCCCCCUUGGGUCCAAUCAGCCAAAGGCCCCAGCAGGAAAGCUGAUUGCCACAGCCUGGCCAUGCCCUUCCCUGGCUGAUUACAUUUUUCUGCUUGUUUCUGCUUUUGUCGCUGAUUAAUCAUAGCCCUGUCUUGGCGCCGGGAGAGAGGGGCUCAGUGAGAGACAACACCCCCAGCCACCCUGGGCCAAGGCAGGCCUGAACCUUUAGGACUUGUCUAGGGCUCUGGGUUUCUCAUAGGCAUGUGAAACCUGUAGAGAAGCCAGACAAACCCUGGCUCCCAUCUGAAUGUCUGUUCCAGGCUUCUGGCCAGUUGCUAUCUAUUCAGACCUAUAGUUGGAGUCGUAAGAGCCCCUGAGAAGCACCCAUCCCCAAAGCUCUUCUUGCGCACUUGAGCAUCCAUCAGGUCAGCUGGGUGCUUAUGCUCCUUUAAGAUUUCUGAUAGAACAGAGCUGUGACGCAGGAAGAACUAGCCGCCAACCCAGCGAGCCCUGGGCUCUUGCAUCUACCACCUUGUUUCAAUGGGACCUUAGCCAUACCCCUUAACCUCUCAGGGCCUCUAUGUUAUUUCCUGGGCAGAGGUGAGGAUGAAGCGACUUAACAUGGAAGGUGCCUGAUGAUGCGCCCUGAAUCUCUUGGGAGUUUCCCAUUAGUAUGGGAAUUCUUCCAUGGGAAUAAGAACAGUCACUGGGGGGUGUUGUAGGGGUGAUCUGCAAGCACCUUACUUGCUAAGCCUUUCCAGACAGUUUGCUAUUGGGCUAAGGGAGAGAGCUGGAGUCUGCUAUCAGACUGGCAGGAAACACUCUCUCUUGGAGCGUUCUUGGGAGGCUUCCCUGAAGCCUAGCUGCCCAGCCAGGGAAAUCUCAAAAGAAGGGGCAAAAAGAAAUCAAGAACUAAUCAAGUGGGAAUCCUUCACAGACCAGGCCCUGGGAGUCUGCUGAAGGUACAGGUGUCCCUGGAUUCAGGGGCUGCCCCCACCCCGGACAUUAACCUUGGUCCGAAUCCAAAGGGUCAAGGUGUCCAGUCAUGUGACCAGGGUACUCCCCAGGGCAGGUAGCCUCCAGAUCAAAGUGGCAGAUAACGAAAGAUAGCUUUAGUAUCAUAGUUUACCACACUCUCUAGGGUCAUCUUUGACAUUUCAGUCCCCUGGUGACUCAAAGCUGGUCCCUCUUCUCUCCCCUGAGGCAAAGCCACAGCCCAGGACACUAGCUAUUGACACAGUGGGCCACCUCUUAACACUGUUUCUCACACUAGCAGCUAUACCUGUUCUGCUUUGUCUGCUGACAGGGGACAUAGAACAUCCCUGGGCUAUGCAAGCCACCUGCCUAGUCCCUCUCCUCAAUGCCUUGCUCCCAUUUACGGGUAGGGGCAUGCCUGCUGAGGGAGCUGUAGGGACCAAAUCCAGCUGCAGAGCCCUUUGAGGAAGAGCUGGAGUUGAGAACCCAGGCAGAGGCAGGAGGUCCUGAAACCAAGCUCUGGGACAUGCUGGCCCUCACCCAUCUUCUAGACUAUGGAAUCCUGGCUGCCUCUAGGAACCAGUCAACCUCCUCCACCCUCCAGUGCUGUGUAUGACAUUUAGUGUCCUCCCUGAGCCUCAGCUUACUUGUUUAUUAAAUGGGAGAGCAUCUAAGUGCAUGCGGGACAGUCAGGCUCUGUAUGUCACACAUGUGGGGUAGGGAACAUGGUGGCUCUUUAUCUCAUCAAGCCAGGAGAAGUCUGCUGUGGAGUGAAGUGGUUCGAGAUCACUCUUAGCUUUAGAAAGCGGGUUCUGUGGCUGCAUCCCUCAGACCCACCAUGUGUGGCAUGGAGCUGGGCUGGGGUGGAAGAAUAGGAACACCUGUGAAAUGAAUGAGAGUGAGUGACAGUCACCCACCUGGCCUGCGGCACAGCAGCCCUGUCCUCUCCACUGCACAUCAGGGGAGCAGAUGGCUCCAUCACAAGGUGUGAAUUAUGUCUGUCGCUUCCCCCUUCUGGGGAAGGUGCUACUGCCAUCACAUGGCACUCCUUGGGUGCCCACCGGGAGAGACGCUUGGGUCCCAGGUGUUUCCAGGGAUCUCAGGGACAGAGGUUUACCAAGCCCCGAAACUGACCCCUUCCUCCCAAGACCUGCAGGGUUCCCAUCCUGCCUAAGACCAAGGUCCUACCUUCCCACUGCUGGAGGCCUCUCUUCUCAAGAGAAUACUUCCAGAUAGCGCAUUCCCUGGCUGGACCUACCCGCUGAUACCCGCUGCCUCUUGAACACCCACGUUCAGCACCAGGGAGAGCGCCCAGCAGAGCUCGGGCAGGCCCUGAGCUGACCCAAAGUGAGCUAGCAGAGCAAGACAAUCCCAACCAGGGAGGAAGGCGAACUGAGGAGAAGGUAGGCAGGAAGGUCAUGCCUGGGCCAUGGGCCACAGUGUUGCCAGAGCCAAGAGGCCUGACUGGAGAGGAGCUAAGCGGCAGAGAGGCACAGGUUGGGGAAAAGAGGAGUCUUGGGACAGCAGAGGCUCUGGCCUCUGCUUCUUGGCUAGAGAACAAAAUUGUUCAAAGAACCCAGCGGGGACAGUAUCUGGAGGUGAAUAAAAUAUUCAUUGUCCAGGGACUCAGUUGAUGAAUAAUGGAAUUUAUAAGCUUGCAGACUCAGACUGGGCCAGGAGAGGGUGCAGUCCGGAAACUAUGGGCCCCUUUGCUCUCUCUGUCCCUGUCCUGUGCUGGGCAUCCCUCUGAGCCUUCAGGUCCUGGCCCCUGAAGGCGAUGGGACCAAGCAUGUCAAUAUGAGCAGCCUCUGAGGGACAUGGAGGGGGGGGCAGCCUUCAGUUCUCUUGCUCCUCUAGAAGCAAUUUGAAUAUGGAAAAGACCCUGGAGAUGCUGGGUUCAGGGUGAAUACAGGCUGUCACUAGCUCUGUGCCCUGAUGGUAGUGGCAACUGUCUUGGCCUUAGUAUCCUGACUUGUGAAAUAGGCCCAUGCUGCCACGAAGAUCUGCUGAGUAAUGAAGGUAAGGGCUCCUGAUGUCACUGUUGCUGGCUCUAGAACUCCUAAGCCUCUGACUCCCACGAGAGCCUAGGAGUGACCUCCCUUUCUUGUACUGAAGCAAGCUAAAUGACAGAGAGAUGUGACCACAAACAGGGAGACCCUUCUGACCCUCCGGGCAAGGCUAGUCACCAGUCUCCAUAGAAACUUAGCCCACCAGACACACACUCAGGCACACAGCCCCUUAUCCUGAGAAAUGCUGCUUGCACUGGGCAUACUCUGACUGGAGCCUCUAAGACGGCCGGGGUUGAGCCGGGCAUGGUGGCGCAUGCCUUUAAUCCCAGCACUUGGGAGGCAGA
Long non-coding RNA from Mus musculus (house mouse), 4560 nucleotides. RefSeq annotates it as predicted gene, 35102. NCBI's taxonomy places the organism in Eukaryota, Metazoa, Chordata, Mammalia, Rodentia, Muridae. The transcript has 4 exons. The record is from RefSeq and is a predicted model, not a curated record.